GGGGAUGGGGAUGGCGAUGGGGAUGGGGAUGGGGAUGAUGCACGUAGGGUCUCUGCCCUCUCUUCACGUGGUGUGGCUGUGCUGCUAGUGACUAUUAACUAUUUUUUUUUUUUAACUUUAGUAUGCUUUCUAGUUGCCGGGCUUCCAUUUUUUCAGCUGCUAGAGGCUCAAACCUCACCGAAGACUACCUGCGUAUGUUGUAUUUUAACCUUCGGGGUCAAUCUGACGUUUCGGUCCUUUCAGGGACCCAACUUACCGUUUUUAUGUAUGUGGGGUCCUUCUGAGAAUUUAGGUGUUUUGACCACUGGCUUAUAGUGGUCAGUGGGAGCCUGCAUUUACCAUGAAAACAUUGAAAUGUGACGACUUGCCCGGGAGGGAAUAGAAGCUCACAAGCAGUGACCGGAUAUUUUCCUUUAGGAAAUGGCUCUGAGAAUGGUUCAUCUGGAGUGUGCUGCAUAGAUGAAAUGCCCUGUCUGCCAGAGUACAUGACACAAGCAAUCUUAAAAGCCAUUUCCACCCCUUUUCUACACUAGAUAAUUGUACCUUUCUAAUUCAGAUUGAUAAGUGCAGCCUACGAGGUUAUAAAGGCUCUUUAAAGUGUGUUGCAGCGCCUCUGUGAGAACAUAAUAGCAGGCAAAAUACAUACUUUCUCCAAACAUGCUUGUCUGAUUCGCCGCUUUGGUAGUGGUGGCAGCAGCAUGAGAAUGGGAACAUACAUCCCGCCCCAGGUAAGUGGGAGGUGGUUGUGCUGCCAUCACCAGGCACUGCGACCGAGUGCUCGCAUCAGCUACUGCUUGUGUUCUGCUCACCACAAGUGUGGCAAAAUACUGACACUGUGGAGAAGUUUUAAAUGUAUAGCUGCUGCUGCAACCACAGCUAGAAACUAGCCAGCAGGCUAGCCAGGGCUGGAGUGGGGACGAAGGAAUACUGGACAAGAGAUUGGAAUCGCCUAGGAAAGGCUAUCAAGGCUGGGAGCUGCAGAAGGAAAAACAUCAGGUAAGGGACUGGGACUGGCUGAAAAACUAGGGGGAGGUGGGAGUGGUCUGGCAUGAAAAAUGAGGGCAUGAAAGAUGGAGAUAGGGAGGAGGAGAAAGGAACAUUAAACUGCCUGAACAAAUACAUGGAAUCGAGGAGGUUGUUUAGGGAAUGUGAAAUCAUGAAAUGUCCAGCAGUCUGGGAGCUGAGACAGAGUGAGUAUGCAGAACGUGAGUGCAGAUGUGGUUAGAGGUUUGAAGGAGAGAGAUGGAUCUUGAAGGAGAAUGGGAAGGGAGAACUGGAUCCUGGAGGAGAGGUGUGGAAGUCUGAGGCAGGCAAGUGUGUGUUGUAUGUAAAUAAAGCUAGUAUUUUAUACUCCUUCCCUCA
Molecule: long non-coding RNA, 1362 nt
Filed under: Anser brachyrhynchus (Pink-footed goose)
Lineage: Eukaryota; Metazoa; Chordata; Aves; Anseriformes; Anatidae
Description: lncRNA (ENSABRG00000016041.1)
Source: RNAcentral